AGUCUUCGGGACUCGGCAGACUUCUCAGUAACACGUGAACAAUCUGCCCUCAGGUGGGGAAUAAUCUCGGGAAACUGAGGCUAAUGCCCCAUAGACCUUCUCUGCUGGAAUGCUUGAAGGUUGAAAGCCCCGGCGCCUGAGGAUGAGUUUGCGGCCUAUCAGGUUGUAGUGGGUGUAAUGGACCCACUAGCCAUUGACGGGUACGGGCCUUGAGAGAGGUUGCCCGGAGUUGGACUCUGAGACACGAGUCCAGGCCCUACGGGGCGCAGCAGGCGCGAAACUUCACAAUGUGGGAAACCACGAUGAGGGGAUUCCAAGUGUCAAUGCACUGCAUUGGCUGUUCUUAUGCCUAAAAAGCAUUUGAAGUAAGAGCUGGGUAAGACGGGUGCCAGCCGCCGCGGUAAUACCCGCAGCUCGAGUGGUGAUCGUUAUUAUUGAGCCUAAAGCGUCCGCAGCCGGUCGCGUAAAUCCUUGGGUAAAUCGGGCAGCUUAACUGUCCGAAUUCCGAGGACACUGCGCAACUUGGGACCGGGGGAGGUCGGAGGUACUCUCAGGGUAGGGGUGAAAUCCUGUAAUCCUGAGAGGACCACCAGUGGCGAAGGCGUCCGACCAAAACGGCUCCGACGGUCAGGGACG
This 636-nucleotide ribosomal RNA is filed under the name uncultured archaeon. Its description in RNAcentral is "bacterial SSU rRNA". It matches the Rfam family "Archaeal small subunit ribosomal RNA", at positions 63 to 706 of the family's 1478-position model. The record is from RNAcentral.